This 900-nucleotide ribosomal RNA is filed under the name human gut metagenome. Its description in RNAcentral is "bacterial SSU rRNA". It matches the Rfam family "Bacterial small subunit ribosomal RNA", at positions 8 to 921 of the family's 1533-position model. The record is from RNAcentral.
AGAGUUUGAUCCUGGCUCAGGACGAACGCUGGCGGCGCGCCUAACACAUGCAAGUCGAACGGAGCUUAGAGAGCUUGCUUUUUAAGCUUAGUGGCGAACGGGUGAGUAACGCGUGAGUAACCUGCCCUAGAGUGGGGGACAACAGUUGGAAACGACUGCUAAUACCGCAUAAGCCCACGGUACCGCAUGGUACUGAGGGAAAAGGAUUUAUUCGCUUUAGGAUGGACUCGCGUCCAAUUAGCUAGUUGGUGAGGUAACGGCCCACCAAGGCGACGAUUGGUAGCCGGACUGAGAGGUUGAACGGCCACAUUGGGACUGAGACACGGCCCAGACUCCUACGGGAGGCAGCAGUGGGGGAUAUUGCACAAUGGGGGAAACCCUGAUGCAGCGACGCCGCGUGGAGGAAGAAGGUUUUCGGAUUGUAAACUCCUGUCGUUAGGGACGAUAAUGACGGUACCUAACAAGAAAGCACCGGCUAACUACGUGCCAGCAGCCGCGGUAAAACGUAGGGUGCAAGCGUUGUCCGGAAUUACUGGGUGUAAAGGGAGCGCAGGCGGACCGGCAAGUUGGAAGUGAAAACUAUGGGCUCAACCCAUAAAUUGCUUUCAAAACUGCUGGCCUUGAGUAGUGCAGAGGUAGGUGGAAUUCCCGGUGUAGCGGUGGAAUGCGUAGAUAUCGGGAGGAACACCAGUGGCGAAGGCGACCUACUGGGCACCAACUGACGCUGAGGCUCGAAAGCAUGGGUAGCAAACAGGAUUAGAUACCCUGGUAGUCCAUGCCGUAAACGAUGAUUACUAGGUGUUGGAGGAUUGACCCCUUCAGUGCCGCAGUUAACACAAUAAGUAAUCCACCUGGGGAGUACGACCGCAAGGUUGAAACUCAAAGGAAUUGACGGGGGCC